Molecule: ribosomal RNA, 371 nt
Filed under: uncultured bacterium
Lineage: Bacteria
Description: bacterial SSU rRNA
Rfam family: Bacterial small subunit ribosomal RNA
Source: RNAcentral
GUAGGGUGCGAGCGUUAAUCGGAAUUACUGGGCGUAAAGCGUGCGCAGGCGGUUUCGUAAGCUGGAGGUGAAAUCCCCGGGCUCAACCUGGGAAUGCCCUUCAGGACUGCGAGGCUAGAGUGCGGCAGAGGGAGGUGGAAUUCCACGUGUAGCAGUGAAAUGCGUAGAUAUGUGGAGGAACACCGAUGGCGAAGGCAGCCUCCUGGGCCAGCACUGACGCUCAUGCACGAAAGCGUGGGGAGCAACCAGGAUUAGAUACCCUGGUAGUCCACGCCCUAAACGAUGUCAACUAGGUGUUGGGGAAGGUGACUUCCUUAGUACCGCAGCUAACGCGUGAAGUUGACCGCCUGGGGAGUACGGCCGCAAGGUUA